AAGUUCCUGCCGGGCCUGGCUGGCAUGUUUGUCCUCUUCCUUUGCACCACAGACCUCUGCUGCAGCCAUGCUCCGCCAGAUCCUCAGUCAGGUCAAGAAGCACCCGAGCUUGAUCCCCCUCUUUGCAUUUAUUGGAACUGGGGGUACUGGAGCCAUACUGUAUCUCAUGCGUCUGGCGAUGUUGAAUCCAGAUGUUAGUUGGGACAGAAAGUAUAACCCAGAGCCGUGGAACAAACUGGGUCCCAAUGGUCAAUACAAGUUCUUCUCAGUGAAUGUGGAUUACAGCAAACUGAAGAAAGAGGGUUCAGAGUUCUGAAUGAAAUGUUUCACUAUAAAGCUGCUUAGAAUGAAGGUCUUCCAGAAGUCAUCCACACAAUUUCCCACUUAACCAGGAAAUUCUUCUCCUCUAAAUGCAAG
RNA transcript from Carlito syrichta (Philippine tarsier), 417 nucleotides. It is a transcript of the gene named cytochrome c oxidase subunit NDUFA4 pseudogene, with no coding region annotated. The record is from RefSeq and is a predicted model, not a curated record. The transcript has a single exon. Lineage: Eukaryota; Metazoa; Chordata; Mammalia; Primates; Tarsiidae.